AAAUUGAAGAGUUUGAUCAUGGCUCAGAUUGAACGCUGGCGGCAGGCCUAACACAUGCAAGUCGAGCGGAAACGAGUUAUCUGA
RNAcentral lists this ribosomal RNA (84 nucleotides) under Vibrio alginolyticus. RNAcentral describes it as "partial 16S ribosomal RNA". It matches the Rfam family "Bacterial small subunit ribosomal RNA", at positions 1 to 84 of the family's 1533-position model. RNAcentral also lists the same sequence under 7 other names. Lineage: Bacteria; Pseudomonadati; Pseudomonadota; Gammaproteobacteria; Vibrionales; Vibrionaceae. The record is from RNAcentral.